Molecule: antisense RNA, 505 nt
Filed under: Amycolatopsis bartoniae
Lineage: Bacteria; Bacillati; Actinomycetota; Actinomycetes; Pseudonocardiales; Pseudonocardiaceae
Description: sRNA 350
Rfam family: Saccharopolyspora sRNA 350
Source: RNAcentral
UUGACCGAGUACUCCCAGAUGUCCUCCGGGUCGGCGAGCGUCUCGUCGCCGAAGUGGUCGCCGUUCGCGAGCACGCCGAGCGUCGUCUCGUCGCCGUACUGGCCGGGCCCGAUCUUGCUCACCUUGCCGUGCGCGAUGAGGAACGCCUGGUCGGAGGUGUGUCCGAACUCGACGAUCACGUCGCCCGGCUGGUAGGUCUGUUGCACGAACCGGUCGGCCAGCGCGGACAGCACGGUCUCGUCGGCGAACCCGCGCAGCAGCGGGAGCUCGCCCAGCUCCGCGGGGAUGACGCGGACGUCGCUGCCGGUGCUGACGAACGUGACGCGGCCGUCGCCGACGGUGUAGGUCAGCCGGCGGUUCACGCGGAAGACACCGCCGUCGGCCUGCACCCACGGCAGCACGCGCAGCAGCCACCGCGAGGUGAUCGACUGCAUCUGGGGGACGGACUUGGUCGUGGUCGCCAGCUGCCGCGCCGCCGCGGUGCUCAGGCUCUGCCUCGGCGCGU